GAAAUGCGAUAAGUAAUGUGAAUUGCAGAAUUCAGUGAAUCAUCGAAUCUUUGAACGCACCUUGCGCCCUUUGGUAUUCCGAAGGGCAUGCCUGUUUGAGUGUCAUUAAAUUCUCAACCUUGAAAGGCUUGUCUUUUCAAUGGCUUGGAUGUGAGGGUUUUGCUGGCUUCCUUCAGUGGAUGGUCUGCUCCCUUUAAAAGCAUUAGUGGGAUCCUUUGUGGACGGUCACUUGGUGUGAUAAUUAUCUACGCCGUUUGUACUGUGAAGCAAAACUUGUGGGAACCUGCUUAUAACCGUCUGUAAUGGACAAUUUUGAACCUUUGACCUCAAAUCAGGUAGGACUACCCGCUGAACUUAAGCAUAUCAAUAAGCGGAGGAAAAGAAACU
This 387-nucleotide ribosomal RNA is filed under the name uncultured Tricholomataceae. RNAcentral's name for it is "eukaryotic LSU rRNA". The stretch from base 1 to 105 matches the Rfam family "5.8S ribosomal RNA", at positions 50 to 154 of the family's 154-position model. The record is from RNAcentral. Lineage: Eukaryota; Fungi; Basidiomycota; Agaricomycetes; Agaricales; Tricholomataceae.